UGUGUAAAUGAAUACAACAUUAAUGCAUCAGAUCCCAUCAGAACUCUACAGUCAAGCAUGCUUGGGAUAUAGUAUCAUUGGGAUGGGUGACCUCCUGAGAAGUCUUAAUUUUUUACAUGC
Non-coding RNA from Picea glauca (white spruce), 120 nucleotides. NCBI's taxonomy places the organism in Eukaryota, Viridiplantae, Streptophyta, Pinopsida, Pinales, Pinaceae. The record is from Rfam.